CCCUAAAAAAGAAGCGACAACCAGACCCUUUACCUUUCUUUCACCAUGCCCAAAUCAAAAAAGUCCUAGUAGCCAUAACUGUCGUGACACUACCACUAACUAUGCCAAGAUUUUCCCAUUUCUCCGUUCUUCAACUCGUGACUCCCAUAUUCGUAUAACAAUGAAAAUUUCAACUCAAAUCCGUCAUUUAAUGGACUGAAAAAGCAAUAUAAUGGGAGAAAAGAGGGAUUCAUUUGGAUUCAAAUUUUGAAUCUCCUUCUUCCCACAUUUUUGUGAAUUUUUUAUUUCAAAUUCGGACUUUGAAGCACGAAUUUGCACUUAUAAAUAUGGGUUUUUUCCAUUCUCCAAGGACAAGAGCGAAAAUAAGGGGAAAGGGGGCUAAAAAUUCAAAAAGAAAAAGAGAAAGUCCAAAAAAUCACAAGUUGAAAGAGGAGAAAUCAGUGAGGAAAAAAAAAGGGUAUUUGAAAAAAUCACAAGUAAGGUUACAAAAUUGCUAGUUUCCCUUUCUUGUUUUCAAUCUAACUUUGUGGAAUAGGAAAAUAAUAUUUUUAAAAUUUUUCAAUCAUAGCUUCAAUUGCCUUUUUGUUAGGACAUAUUUUUUUAUAUUCAGCAAAUACUUUAGAAAUAGCAGUAAUAGUUACUAAAACAGAAGAAAUAGUUGGAGUAUAUUGAGCAGAUACUGUGUUUGUAGCUUUAUAAAAAGUUUUCAAAAAUUUACAAAGUUCUUCUACUUCAGUCCAACCAUCUUCGUCUAGCAUUAAAUUAACAUCCUCAUUAUAAGAAUUAUAAACUAAUUGUAUAGGUUUACGAUAUAUAACAGCAACUUCAAACAUUUGAAACAAAGAAUUCCAUCUAGUAGGAAUUUCUUUUGGAAUUUUUCUAUAUGGAAGGCCACAUUGUUCACAUUUAUGUUUAAAAUCAUCCAUUACAACCUUUUUUUUUUUUUAAACAUAGAACUACAAGUAAUUCGCACUUUAAGACAACCAUUUCUAAACAAAUGAAUACCAUCAUGUACUAUCAAAUUUAAAAUAUGUGCAGAACAUCUAACAUGAAAAUGAUCUUGAUACAUUAAACAUAAUUUAGUUUUUAACUCGUCAAUAGCUUUCAAAUUAUUAGAAGCAUUAUCUAAUGUGCAUGCCAUAGGUUUACCAAUAAAUCUAAAAUAUUUCAUGCUCUCUGCUAUUGUACUAGCUAUAUACAUACUGAUUUUAGACUCAUCGACAUAUUUAUAAGCAAUAAUUUUUUUUUGUAUGUUCCAAUCGUGAUCAAUCCAAUGAGCCGUGAGAGUAAAAUAAUCAUUACCGACAACACUAGUACCCAUAUCAGAAGUAACAGCUAUUCUACCAUCAAAUUUAUCAAAUAAGCAAUGAAGAAAAUGACAAUGUUCAGCUUGAAAUUUAAAAAUAUCAUUUUUAAUUGUAUUUCGUGAAAAACCUUUAAAAGAGGAAUAUACACUUGUUGAAUAUAAUAAAUAAAAUUGGGAUGCGAAGGAAAAUUAAAAGGCAAACCCAUAAUAGCAACCAUUUUCGCUAGUUCUUCUCUAUCUACAUCUUCACUAUAUGUCGAGGAUGAACUUGCUUCAGUCGGGUUAAACAUGUCUAAAUGCGUUUGAACCAUAUUACCUCCUACAGAUUCAUCUACAAAUGUUGUACCAUUUUUUUUUGCCUUAGCCUCGUUUUUUAGACCAAUACAUUCUUUAUUACGUCUCAUCAAAUGCGAAGUUAGCAAUCCUGUCCCACCAUUUUUUCGCCCCGUCAAAUGUUUAAAAACAUUCUUGCAUUUAUUGCAAGUAGCAAUACUUUUUACCCAAUCAUGCUCCAUAAAUUUCCAAACCAAAGACCUUUUAGUACGUUCGGUACCUUUGGCCCUAGUAAUAAAGGGGGAAGUUCUUCACCGUAUUCCGAUAAUUCCGUAAUCGGACUAGUAGGGGUAGGAGUCACCUAAUUCUUGUUCUUCUAUAUCAUCUUCCUCUGGUAAGUCUUCCUCAAAAUUAUUAUAACGCUUAUUCAGGGUCUCAUUAUCUAAUUCCAUACCGAUACCAACAUCGAAACCAUUAGGUUGUGAUAAUGAAGUUUCAUUAAAUCUAGUCGGUAAUGAACUAGUACUAGCCUUACUUUUUUUAUUUCUACGAAAGACCUUACCAAAAAUUAGUUUUUUACCACUACUAUUUUUUUCAAAAUCCGUAAUUCAAAAUAAAAUAUUAAAACAAGCAAUACAAAUGCAAAUUGAUGUUCGUAAAUAAAUGUAGAUACAAAAAAUUAAAAAUAUAGAUAAUUAACGUAAAUAAAAAGAUAUUAAAGUUGGAACAAAUAUACCGAACGCUUGCGUAAAAGCGGACGCAUAACAAAUGUCGGAAUUAAAAGAUGAUAAUUGAAGCUUGUAAUAUCUUCAAAAAAUCUUCAACUCCAACUAAUAUAAUAAAUGAAUCCUCAACUUCAAGUGUUUAACUAAUAUAAUAAAACUAGAAAUAUUUAGAGAGAAUUUGAGAGAAUAUUAAGAGAGAGUAUGAAAAUUGAUAAUAUUUGUGUGAAAAAAAUAAUUAAAAUGAAGUAUAUUUAUAGUAAAAUUUUUAAAGGGUGGGGGAGUAAUUGGAAGGUGUGUGUGCGUGGGUGGGGGGUGGGGGGGGGGGGUAAUAACGGUUGAAAUGCAACGGCCAAAAGAACCGUUGCAAACCAAUGGCUGAAAUUUAAACCUUACGGACCGGAAACCGGUCAACCGGUACCGAAACCGAAAUCGAAAAUACCAGAAUUUUUCAUAGGUCCAGACCGAUAUCGUAUUCCGAACCAUUGGGUACCGCUAAAUCAAAAUGAACUGGACCGUGUCGUUAUCGGUACCGAAAAUCAAUCGAAAACGUCACUAUCGGAACAGAACGGAAAAUUCCGUUGGCAGCCCUAGUGUCCAUCAACUUAUACCCUAAAAAAGAAGCGACAACCAGACCCUUUACCUUUCUUUCACCAUGCCCAAAUCAAAAAAGUCCUAGUAGCCAUAACUGUCGUGACACUACCACUAACUAUGCCAAGAUUUUCCCAUUUCUCCGUUCUUCAACUCGUGACUCCCAUAUUCGUAUAACAAUGAAAAUUUCAACUCAAAUCCGUCAUUUAAUGGACUGAAAAAGCAAUAUAAUGGGAGAAAAGAGGGAUUCAUUUGGAUUCAAAUUUUGAAUCUCCUUCUUCCCACAUUUUUGUGAAUUUUUUAUUUCAAAUUCGGACUUUGAAGCACGAAUUUGCACUUAUAAAUAUGGGUUUUUUCCAUUCUCCAAGGACAAGAGCGAAAAUAAGGGGAAAGGGGGCUAAAAAUUCAAAAAGAAAAAGAGAAAGUCCAAAAAAUCACAAGUUGAAAGAGGAGAAAUCAGUGAGGAAAAAAAAAGGGUAUUUGAAAAAAUCACAAGUAAGGUUACAAAAUUGCUAGUUUCCCUUUCUUGUUUUCAAUCUAACUCUAGUUCUUGGAUUUAGAGAUUGGUGGAGGAAAUACUUGACGGAAAGCUCCAGGUCUGUUGUCCUAAACAAGGUGCGAUUUGGCUUUUUUCAUUUUACAUCUUCUUCUCUUUCGUCUAUCUCGGUUCAAUGAAUAUGUGAUUCUCGAGUUCAUGUUGUUGUUUUGUUUUUCUGACCCUGUGGAUUGAUAUGAAUUUUGAUUCUAAAAAAAAUGGUUUUUGUAUGUGAAGAAGUGAUCUAUUUUGGUUUCAAGCUUGGUUAUGGUGUUAUUGUUCAUUAUCCACAAAUCGAGUUCACAUACAUAGUUUAGUUUGAAGCCUAUAUCGUUUGAAAUGUGUUGUUGCUUUCUUGUUUUAACUCACUAUUAAAAUAUGAGUUUUAAAAAGCAGAAAAGAGUAUCAAAAUAUACUGUUCAGUGAACACCCUCUUGUGUUUUUGUUGGUAUGUCGUGAAUAGAGCACAUGAAUCGCCCCAUUACUUUAUCUCCAUUCCUUUCUCUAGUUUUACCUGGUUUUACUAGUAUUUUCAAAAUUAUGGGUAAAUCAUCCCUUCUAAACUCAUUUGUCGCUUGUCUUGUCAUUUUUUGGGGUGAAUUUUUGAAGUGUAUGAGACAUAAAUAAAAGUCAGUCCUCUUGUAUCCUUCUUUCGCUUGUCUUGAUUUUACGGAAAUAUGAGUUUUUCAUGCGUAAAUCAUCUCAUUUCAUUUGUUACCAUAAUGUGUGAUGUAUAUGGUUGUUAGAGAAUGUGAGUUCAAACCACUAUUGGAAUAAAAUAUCAAAUGAAAAGGUAAACUAGAAUGUGUAUUUCUAUUUACUUUGACCUAGAUGUAUAAAUUAUUUGCUUAUGCGUCUUGUGAAAAUCUGUUAGCUUUGUGUUCUAAAUCAUAAAUUAUUUUUUCUCUUCUUACGGGGUGCGGGUUUUUAAGUGGUUCGGCUACAUUUGUUCCAUAAUUUUUAAAUUUACACAAGUAACAAGGAAACCGUUUUGCUCUAUAUGCAUUAAAAAUCAGCAUAAUGUUAAGUCUCCCUUCUCUGUUUGCCUCGUUCUUAACCAAGUUUUCUUUUAAAUGAAAGAGCAAUUGGUGUGUUUAUUUCAUGAAGUGUGCGUGCCCAAAUUACUGAAUUAGUUAGCCAUUUUUUAGUAUUGUUAUUAAGUUGGCAUUUCUGUUAGUGAAAGCCUACUAGCAGUAGUUCUUUUAAUACAAGUUCCACAUUUGUUUGGUCACAUCUUUACAGUCCAAAGGAUGCCCUUCACACUUGUCUUCAUCCUUUGGACUGUAAAGAGUUAGUCUUUUCUCAUGAAGUUUAUGUGAAUGAAUUUUGAUGAAAAACCUUUGUGAAUCCCUUGAAACGUGGACUUUAGUUGUGAUAUCUAGAUAGAAAUAAUUGAUUUGUUGUAUCAUAAGUUUUGACCAUGUAGGUGACUAACUUUUGUUAAAGGGACUUGAAAAUUUUGUAUCUAUGGCCUUGAUUCAUAUUAUAUCUCCAAGCAACUAUAUUUUAUUUCUAUAUGUGGUUGUAUUUUUCUCAAGUUCGAAUUAAAUAAAAGAUAUCUAACGAUUUCAUCCAUAGUUUGUUAAAAUGAAUCUGUUGAAAAUUCAUUUAGCUUGAUCCUAAAAUAAAACGUGUUUGUCAAUUUAUAUUAUAAGUAACUAGUUUUGAAGUGUUAUUUUGGUAGUGUCUGGCCUACGCCUAAUCUUCUUCCAGAAUCAUUAUAGUGACUUAUCUAUUUUUGCACGUUUUGUGUUAUUUAAAGACAAUUACAUUUGUUAUUUAGUUCACUUUACAUACUUAUAGUGUUGAAUAUGUUUUUAAUCCUUGUCAUCUUUUUGUUUCAUAUAAAUUCGGGAGUUGAAGUUUCAAUAGAAACUCCAUUUUGAUCCAAACAUCGGGUCAUCCGCUACUAGGAUUACAGUGCUUUGAAAUCUCGAUAAUUAAAAUCUCAAAUUUCAUUGGGGGUCUAGUAUCUCCGGGCUUUGAGCUGUAGGUAACAAAAGCUCAAUUACUUUGAGGUGUACGUGACUCAAGUCUUAAUAAUUGAGUGGAAGUGAUAAUUACUUUAUUAUGGAUUAAGAAAGUUGGAAAAAUUUAAAAAUAACUCACAAGUUUUUAAAUUUACACUUUGAUCUAAAUGACAGUUAAUAUAACGAAAAACGGGGGAAAAACGCGUUUCUCUCUCUUCUCAUCCAUUGUUGUUUUCCUCCUAUUAGCGAUUUUUAUUGUUCAUUGUUGCUACUGCUUUAUUCAUCAUCUUCUACUUCAUUAUUAUCUUCAUCUUCUUGUUGUUGACCAUUAUUGUUGUUGUUGUUUCCGUUAUUGCUGCAAUUUGAUCAAUUUCUUAGGUCAAAUUUUGUUUCGUACAUCACUUUCCACUUUGGCAUUACUUCAUAGGAGACUUUGGUAACUCAAUUUAUAAUUUUUAGUUGAGUUUGCCAUCUGGGUAACUGCUAUUGUGCUAUUUUUUCAACAAUAGAUAGCACGCGAACAUGAAUGCAACAGAAGAGCCAUCUGUUUAAAUAGAUCAAUCAUUUGUUGCGAUAGAUGAGCCAUUUGUUGUAACGAAAGACUCAUAUGUUAGAUUCAUGUUUAUAGUUCUAUAGUGUCGUAACAUGAGUCGAACAGAUGGGUCAUCAGUUGCAACAUAUGACCAUCUGCUGCAAGAGGAUAAAUAUAUGUUGCAAUAGAUUAGUAACCUAUUGCAACAGAACCUGAACUCGAUUUUAACAGACGUGUUGUCUAUUGCAACAAGGUAAAUAUCUGUUGUAAUGGAUUAGUAACCUGUUACAAUAGAGCCAAAACUUGAUUCCAACAAACGCAUCGUCUGUUGCAAUAGGUACGUCAUCUAUCGCAACAUGUUAAUUAUCUGUUGCAAUAUGUCACUCAUCUGUUGGAAUCAGCUUCAAAGAUUUCUUAGUACGGUAACAUUUAUCCCAACAGGCGCUUCAUCUGUUGCAACAGAUAUAUAGUAUGUUGCAAUAUAUGAGUUCAUCUGUUAAAACAGAUGACUUGUCUGUUUAAAUUAGCUUUAUGAGCGUAACAUGAAUCCCAACAGGUAAGUAAUCUGUUGCGACUGAUCACUUACCUGCUGCAACUUAUUUUUCACUUGUUGCAACAGUUUACACAUCCGUUGGGAUUCAUGUAUGACACUAUGAAAUCACUAUUAAUUUUUUUAACAAAUGACUUUAUUUUGGUACCACUAAUAGAGGGACAAAUAACAACAGCUGUGGAAGGGGGUGCAAUAUUAGAGACGAUAGCUAUGACAGUACAAAGUGAUAUUUCGUAUGAUGAUUUUGUGAACUUAAUCAUCAGCUAUUAUGGACUAAAUUGUCAACUGGAAGAACUCAUCAUUAGCUACAUGCAUAGCUCCUUUGAAAAUCAGAGGGUACCAUCUUUCAAGAUAAUCGAUUAGGUUCAGCUGCGUGCUUAUCUUAGUGAUUUAUUCAGGCCGAUGUUAAGGGUGUACGUGGUUGAAAAGAUGAGAGAAAAUGAGAACUAGAAUGUAGAAGAAAAACAACAACAAUACAUCUUUGAUGAUAUGUUGGAUGAUCUAGACAUGAGUACUCUAGAUGAUGAUCAAACACCUACGCCCGUUGAUGCGACCAAUAUGAUGGACAGUUCUUCUUGAUCAACACAGUCUAAUAAUCUUCAAGAUGACACUAAUGGCUUUUUUUAAUGGAAUGUCAUUCAAGGACAAGAAAAAACUACCUACUACUUUGUUUAUUUCUGGCUUGAAAAAAGAUUUCAGAAUAAAGAAGGUGAUUAAUUUAAACAAUGUCUUUUGCUACAAAUGUGCUAAUCCGAAUUGUAAGUAAUGGUUGAGAGUAGUGAAGUACUUAAGUUCUGACAGAUUCAUCAUUCAUAAACAUAAAAGUAUCAUACAUGUGGUUUAGAGCACAUCUCGGGCCAAAAUCCACACGCCACGUCAAGGGUCCUCGGUAAUAUUUCAAGAAUAGUUUCCUCGAUGACAAAGACCCUUUUACAAGGGUUAUGGCCAAUCAACUCCUUACGGAAUUGGGUGUCCUGGUCAGUUAUUGGAAGAUAUAUAAAUGGGGAUUGCCAAGGACUUGGUUAGGGGGACACACGAGCAUGGGUAAAUGUCUACCAUUACAUGCUUGAGUCCACAAAUCCCCGAAGUAAAACAGUGUUGCAUGUUGAUGAAAAUGGAAGGUUCAAGUACUUUUUUAUGUCAUAUGGUGCUUAGAUUCAAGAUUUUAGACAUUUGACACAAGGAAUAGCUGUUGACGGUACCUUCUUGAGGAGCAAGUAUAAUGUAGUUCUGCUAGUGGAGUGGCACAGGAUGCAGAGAAUCACAUCUUUCCUGUCGCUUUUUGUAUAGGAGACAAGGAAUAUGAUGCCUCAUAUGGAUUUUUUUUAACAACUGCGAAGCUGUGUCGAAGAUACUGAAGAGUUGUGUUUUGUUUUGGAUAGGCAUCUAAGUAUUCCAAAGAUGGGUUCAAUUUUCUUCACUUCAGCUUACUUUAGUUGUUAUAUCAGGCAUCUUGGAGAGAACAUUCAGACCAACUUUCACAAUGAAAGGGCUGUGACCCUUUUUUAUAGAGCAGCUAAAACAUAUAGUAAAGAGGAGUUUUUAGACCAAUUCAAUCAAAUAGCGGAUGUGCAUCCCCAGGCAGUAGAACAUCUCGUAUGUGUCGAUUUUGAGAGAUGGAGUCGGGCAUUCUGUUUGGAAAAUAGGUACAUUCUUAUGAAUUUUAUGUCUCGUUUGAGUUACAAGUUUAGUAUGAUGUCGUACUAAGUGAUUAUUUUGUAUAGGUACAAUAUUGUGACGUCAAACAUAACUGAAUUGGUGAAUUCAUUGUUUACCGAUUAUAGAGAAUUUCCCAUCAAGGCUCUAUUUAAAAUAAUAAACAAGAAGUAUGACCAAUUUUUUAAUGAAAGACAUGUACAGUUCAAGGAUGCAGAAACCCCAUUUGUUCUAGAAAUGGAAAAAAUAAUAUCAACGAACAUUAGUCUUGGGAAUAGGUUAUUAUCCCAUCAAAUAAUAGAUUACAAAUUCAGUAUCACCGGUGAUGGUAAUGUUGCCACGAUCGAUCUUUAAACAAGAUCUAGUACGUGCAAAGUUUUUGACUUGGACAAAAUACCCUAUCCACCUGCUAUGGCAGCACUUCGAGCUUAAUACGAUGAAAAAUAUGGACUUAAAAUUUAUGAGCACUCAUCUUCAUAUUAUUCGGUGGAAAAAUAUACAAUGGUAUAUAGUAGACAUAUUACUCUGGUGCCUCCCGAAGAAUCAUGGGUUGUUCCAGCAGAGCUUUUGGGGAGAUUAAUACCUCCUCCAUAUAUUGACCCAAGCACUAUUAAAUCGGGAAGAAAACCAUAUAAGAGGAGGUGUGGAGUCGGAGAAUCUUUUCUAUCAAGAAGAAACAAGUGCUCCGUUUGUAAGCGUACUGGCCAUAAAAGAACUACAUGCCUGGAUCGUAAUCCACCAUGAUCGUUGAAAUUGCAAAAACUUGUGUUAUUAUUUGUUGUGGACUUUUAUACAUUUAACUCAUUGUUGUGAGUAUAAUGUUAUCAUUUAUUAUAUAUAAAAUAUCUUUUUUAAUAACUUAUGCAUCAAUAAAAAUAGGCAAAACAUGAACUAAAUACAGCAAAUCACAAUUAUUUUCAACAGAUUACCCAUCUGUUGUAAUAGAUGGACAUUAGCUGGAAGAACACAAUAUAGUUCAUCAAACUGGAAUAUUUUCCUCCAAUAAAUGACAAAUUUGUCGCAACAAAUGGAUGAUCUGUUGACUGAAACCCAACUAAUGACCAAUCUGUUCCAACACAUGGUCCAUCUAUUGAAAGAACUCAAAAGCCAAAAUUGUUAUUGCUACUGAAUUUAAAAUUGCUCCUUACCUCCAACCGUCAACAUGUUAACAUGUAUGUUUAAAAGAAAAAAUAGAAAGAAUGAAAAUUAAAUAAGAAUUAAAAAACCAAAGUCGACUAAAAAUAAAUUUUUCAUUAAACAAAAAAUAAAAUACAUUAGGUAUAGAUCCAAUAUAGAAAAAUUAAAAUACAUACGCUUAAAGAAAAACACAUUCUAAUUAUUAUUAUUAUCAUCAUCAUUAUUAUUAUUGCAGGUUGACCAAUCAACCGAUAGCAGCAGGGCCCUUACCAGCCUCUGCAUCUCUCUGAAUAUUCUUGCUCUCACGGCGACCAACUCUUUUGCAGGCCAUUAACUUGCCUCUGAAGUUCCCGCGCGGUGUCGUACAGAAUAGCGAUGUCCCAACAGGAUCAGUCGUAUCUAGAACACGCAUGAAUUGACUAAAACGUAAACACAAAAGUAAAGAAAAGAGUUCGAAUAUAAUACAACAUAUACUACCAACUGGUAGAUUUACACAGGAAAAAACUUACCUCAAUGAGAAAGGAAUAUACUUUUUGCAUAAAGUAGUUGAAGAUGUAAUACGAAAAGAGAAAAUGCAAGAAAUAAAUAAAAGUGAAGUAGAAUGAAGAUUAAGAAGGUACUUAUUUAUAAAGGAUUGAAUCUGAACAUGUUAGGCAAAAAGGCAUGAUUGUUCAGCUCUGUUGUAUUAAUUACAUUCAAACUAUUGCCUUUUUGUUUUCUAUGAAAAGUCGCGACUUUUUCUUUUUACAUUUAAACUUCUUACCUUUUCAAAACAACAUGAGACUUAAUAACGACCGUUUUUAUUGAGUUGUUGUAACAGAUCAUCCAUCUAUCAUAAUAGAUAACCCACUGUCACAAUAGAUUUACCAUUUAUUGUAACAAAUGGUCUAUAUAUGCAAUAGAUGAGAUAUCUGUUGCAACAUACGGAUUAUCUAUUGCGAUAGAUGUUUUGAUUUCUUCGAACAACUGAUUCAUCAGUUGCAAUAGAUGAAAAAUUUGAUUCAUCAGCUGUUUUGAAUGAUUUACCAUAUGUUGCAAUAGAUGGUCGGUGUGUGCAAUAGAUGAGACAUUUUUUGCAAUAUAUGGAUUAUCUAUUGUGACAGAUGGACCAUCUGUUGGAGGAGAUUUUUUUAUUUUUUCUAACAACUGAUUCAUCAGUUACAACAGAUAGGGAAUUUGAUUCAUCGGUUGUUUUGAAUGUGUUAGACAAAAAGUCACGACUGUUUACCUCUUUUGUAAUAGCCAUCAGAUAAAUAAACAUUGUUCAACAUUGAUGGGGUAGGAAGAAUAAAGUGUGUGAAGAUAAAUAGAUCCACUUUCAUGUGUGGAAGUUAUGUAUUAUUGAUCAGGCUAUCGUGACAGACAUACAUAAAGUACAAGUAUCUUGUGAAUGCAGUUUUUUACCGAUUAGACAUUGAUCCUUCAAACAAGAUCCUGCAUUUUAUAGUUUAGUUUGGUAGGUGUGAACUGAUAAUGCCGAAGGAUUCCAAGACGGUGGUGUUGAUACCCUGUUCUAAUUUAAUGACAGUUUUGCUUAUGUUUAUAUGUCAAGUUUAGAGGAGGGUUCAAGUUUUUGGCGGCAGUGUAAAUUUUCAAUAAUAAUUGGAUCUAUUUUAAUGGUCCAAUGGAUUUUUGAAAGGCCUCUGAAGCCUCGCACUGCAUCAAACAAGAAUGAAAAACCAAUAGAAAUUCUCCUGGUCUAAAUUUAUAUGGAUGGGUUGCUCGAAAAGACUAUUAUAUAGCAGAAGGUGCUUGGGAGAAUACUUGUGCGAGAAGGGGGAGGUAGAGAAGACUAUAUAUCAUCUCAGACCUUGUUUAAGAAGAAAUACAGGGAAGCAAGAAGGAACUUCUAGCGAAUCUGGCCAAUGAAAUUGACUUUAGAGAUGUUAAAAUUGAAUAGCUUCAAAUGUGAAAGUGUAUCCAAAUAUUAAAAUCAGUUAGUCAUUCUUGAAAAAGAAAAAUGCUCAAGAGGACUGGAGCUGGACACUUUGCUAGGGAUUGCGACUAGCGAGCGUAGCCUCAAUGAAGACCCACAAAGUGAAGGACCAGAACUCUAAGGAAACAACUUGGAGAGCACAGGAGAUUGAUAAGAUUUUCAGUCAAGAAUAAAACCUGAACCAACAACUCCAGAAGUAAAAAUAAGGGAAGCCAAGACGUCAAUUUCUGAAGUUUAACUUGCAUUUCAUGCCUUCUGUUUGUAGCUCUAAUCAAGUCAAUGACAGUAGAAAUAAAAAGGUCUGAAGUUGGGCAAAACUCCUAUGCCUUGUUGUUUCCACUACCUUUGACUUAACCAGAGCCAUAAACAAGAGGCAUGAGAUAUAAGUUUAACUUUAGAAAUUACCAUCUUGGCUUGAUCUUUUCUUUUUUACUUCAGGAGUUGUUGGUUCAGGUUUCAAUCCUGACCGACAAUCUUAAUACCAUUAGUGCUCGCAAAGCUGCAACCUUAGAGUUUUGGUCCUGCAUUUUGUGGGUCUUCAUUCGGGCCACACUAGCUAGUUGCAUUCCCCGAUCAAAGUGCAUAACUUCAAUCCACUUCAACAUUUUUCUUUUCAAAAUGGAUGAUGGAUUUUCAUUUUUGGAUACACUUUCACAUUUGCAGCUCAUUCAAGUUUUUCAUUUUUCAUGUUAAUUUCAUCCGCCAGUUUCACUACACUUUCCUUCCUGCCUUGUGUUUUUUCUUAAAUAAGGUCUAAGUUGAUAUAUGGUCUUCUUCACCUCCCCCUUCCCGCACAGGCAUUCUUUCAAUCACCUUUUAUUGUGUAAUAGUCUCCUUGAGCGACCCAUCCAUAUAAAUUUGGACCAAAGCAGUAACUAUAUUCAUUUCCAUUCUUGUUUGUAAGAGUGCAAGGCUUCGAAGGCCUUUCAAAAGUCCAUUGAACCCCUAAAAUCAGUCCAAUCACUAUUUGAAUGUUUACACUUCCACUAAAAACUUGAACCCUUCUUCAAACUUGACACAUCAACGUUAGCAAAAUCUUUAUUAAAUCGUAAUAGGGUAUCGACACCCCUACUUGGUCCCCCAGUCUUACUAGUUCGAACCUAACAAUCUUAACUGUAAAAGGCCAUAUCUUGUUUGAAAGAUUAAUGCCUAAUAGGUAAAGAACCAACAUUCACAAAAUUAAUAUACUCCAUGUGUGUUUUCAUGAUAGGUUGACCAGUAAUAUAUACCUCCCACAUAUGAAGUGGUUCCAUUUGCAAGCAGCUUAUUCUUCUAAACCCAUCUUUACUUUAAUGUUGUUGGGCAAAAGUUUAUCUAGUUUCACUUCCUUUAAUUUUCAAACAAAAGAAAAAUAUUUGAUGUCAAAUAGGAGAAGAACAAAAAGAACAUUACAAAAAGUUAACACAAAAUUGAAUAAAUCAACAAAUAACCCCUCUUAUGCAACAGAUUCUCAGUCUGUUCAACAUAUGAGUUAUCUGUUGCAAUAAGCGACACAUCUGUGGCAACAGAUGGAUAACAUAUUACAACAGAUGGGUCAUUUGUUAGAAUAAAUCAACCUAGCCUUGCUACUGGUUUGAUUUCUUCCAAUAGUUGCUCUGUCUGUUCCAACAGUUGAUUCAUCAGUUACAACAUCUGAGGAAAUGAUUGCAAUACCACUAACAACAUCAACAAUACCUUAUGUUCCAACACCAUCAAUAACACAAACACCACAUGUUCCAACAACACCAACACUCAUUUAUCAAUAAAUAAGAAAUUGGUAAUGGGUAAAUUAAUAAUAACAAUAGAUGUAAAUAUCUAAUUUAAAUAACAUACAAAGAAAAAGACGAGAAGGAAAGAGCAAUAGUGAACUAUACCUGCAAUGUCAAAAAAGCAAAGGGAUUAAAACACCCAUUUCAGUCGAGCAAAAAUAUUGGGGGGGUCAGUUGAGAUCUGAAAGGGUCUUGAUGCUAAAGAGGAGAUAAAAGAGAGAAAACAAUGAGGUGAUUAUGAUUAUCCUAAAGAGGAGAGAAAGAGAAUUCUAAAUCUAAAUAAAAAAGAGAGAUGAGUAGUGUAAUUUAUGGAUGAAGGAGAGAGAAUUCUAGAGAUGGGUUUUAUAUACUCAUUAAUAACUUUUGAGGGGCACGAGGAGACGGUGACAUUAAAAAGACAUGAUAAGACUACUCAAGGAGGAUAUUUUUGAGUUAUUCAAGUAAUAUUUUUUAUUGCCUUAGUAUUUUAUCCUUUUUAUCUCGGACAACAAAUUAGGAAAUUUCUUUAAAUUAAAAAAAUCUUAAAACAUAUAAUUCAUCUUUUGCAACAGAUGAAAAUUUCUGUUUGAAAAUUUUCAAUGGCUCAAUCAUCUGUUGUGAUAGAUGAUAAUUUUUGUUUGAAAAUUUUCAACUGCUCAAUCAUUUUUCGCAACAUAUGGCAACACCUAUUUGAUAAUUUACAACAUAUAGUUAAUUUGUUGUAAUAAAUGACUUAAUCUGCUUGAUAAAUUCUAAUAGAUAAGUCAUCUAUCACAAUAUAUGACAAUGCCUAUUUGAUAAUUUAGAAAAGAUAGUUAAUCUGUUGCAAUAGAUGACUUAAUCUCUUUGAUAAAUUCAAACAGAUAAAUCAUUUGUUGCAACAGGUUGAACAUUUGUUUUUAUAUAAUUUUAAUUGAGUUCAUAUGUUCAACUACAACUUUAAUUAAUUUAGCUAGAACUAGGGGUGAGUUCAAGGGGUCAACUAUAGCUUCAAUUGAGUCUUUGACAAUUGCAUGAUGUUGGUAUUACAUUCCUACUUAGUCACAGAGUCAUCGAUCGAUCACUCUUGAGUUGAAGCGAUUCUUAUUAUCACGUUGUCAAGCUAAUACCUAAAUUGAUUAAUCUUGGACUAGGGGUAAGUUCAUAGGGUCAAAUACAACUUUAAUUGAGUCUUUUGGCAAUCGUAUGAUAUUGGUAUUGCGUUCCUCCUCAGUCACAGAGUCGUCGAUCGAUCACUCUAAGUUGAAGUGAUUCUUAUUACCUCAUUGUCAAGCUAAUACCUAAAUUUAUUAAUCUUGGACUAGGGGUGAGUUCAUAGGGUCAACUACAACUUCAAUUGUGUCCUUUGGUAAUUGCAUGAUGUUGGUACUACAUUCUUCCUCAGUCACAGAGUCGUCGAUCGAUCACUCUGAGUUGAAGCGAUUCUUAUUACCUCAUUGUCAAUCUAAUACCUAAAUUGAUUAAUCUUGGAAUAGGGGAGAGUUCAUAGGGUCAACUACAACUUCGAUUGAGUCUUUUGGCAAUUACAUGAUGUUUGUAUUGCAUUCCUCCUUAGUCACAGAGUCGUUGAUCGAUCACUCUAAGUUUAAGCGAUUCUUAUUACCUCAUUGUUAAGAUAAUACCUAAAUUGAUUAAUCUUGGACUAGGAGUGAGUUCAUAGGGUCAACUACAACUUCAAUUGAGUCUUUUAGCAGUUGCAUGAUGUUGGUAUUGCAUUCCUCCUCAGUCAUAGAGUCAUUGAUUGACCUCUCUAAGUUAAAAUAAUUCUUAUUACCUCAUGUCAAGCUAAUACCUAAAUUGCUUUAAAAUAAUAAUAAAAAAAGAUCUUAAAACGGAUAAGUCAUACUUUCCAACAGAUGAUAAUUUCUAUUUAAAAGUUUUCAACGGCUCAGUGAUCUAUUGCAACAGAUGACAAUGCCUAUUUGAUAAUUUACAACACAUGGGUAAUCUGUUGCAAUAGAUGACAUAAUUUGUUUGAUAAAUUCCAACAAAUAAGUCAUCUGUUGCAACAGGUUGAAUAUUUGUUUUAUACAAUUUCAAUUGAGUUCAUAUGUUCAACUAUAACAUUAAUUGAUUAAUAUCUAGGAUUAGGGGUGAGUUCAUAACGUCAACUUCAACUUCAACUUCAAUUGAGUCUUUUGGCAAUUGAAUGAUGAGACGAUUAAAAAUUAUGCAUAUCUUUUAAAAUUUUAAAAAAUAAUUAAGAUCAAUUCAGACAAACUAACAUUUUCAAAACUUGUCAUUCUUUUCCAAAAUACAAAUCAACCCAUAUAAAUCAUCCAUUUGCGAGAAAAAUGUUUCAUCAUUUCAUAUUUCAAGUUCUCACUUUUUCUCUCUCUCAACAAUACAGACAAUAAUUACUCAACAAAUUGCCCAACCCUUCACAACAGACCAAUUUUCGCAUUUUUGACUACAUAGGUGUUAUUUUUGACUUUAUUCUUGCUUGUAUCAUUCAUUUUCUCUGUCUUUGUAUGUAAUAGAGUUCGAGAAGAGUUCUAUAUUUGAUAUUUUUUCUAAAAAUUAGGGCUUUUAUUUAAUGAUAAAAAGAAGACUUUUUGUUGUAUUAUCUUCGAGAAUGGGUUUACAAUUUUGAGUUUUAAUGGUAAAAUUAUAGAAAAAACCAAGAAAACCCUAUUUUUUGUCGCAGUGUUUCGUUGUCUAUCGUGGUAUCAUUGAAUGGUGUUUUUGGUGUUUGUGGUCAUAGUGGUUGUGUUGGUGGUCUUUGUGGUGGCACUAGUGGUGUUUGUGGUAGUUGUUGGUGGCAGCUGUUGGUGGCAUUAGUUGGUGGUGUUUGUGGUGGCUGUUGGUAGUGUUUGUAAUGUAUUUUUUAAAAUUUAUGCAUACAUCAAUUGUAAUAUAAUUUUCUUCUCCUGUUGUUUGUAGGUAAAACAUGUCUCCCAAAAGAAAAGAAUGCAAAAGUGGAUCAACUUCUGACCACCUAAUAAAAAAGGCCCCAGUACAGAGGGAUUUAGAGGAUCUUCCUGAACAAUCUCAGUCAGGAAAAAGUGAAGCUGAGGCAAGUUAUGAAAAUGACAUUUAGGGAGGUGAACAAGGGUUUGUAGAUGGUGAUAAAAAAAUGAAAGUGGUGAGGAGGAAGAAGAAAAUAAACAAGAAGAGGAGGGAGAAGAAAGUGAGAAAGAGGAUGAUAAUGCAUCACCAAUGGAGCGUGAAUUAAUAUCGAAAUCCCAGUAUGAGGCUAUCAGGCUAUCAAAACUAUUAGUAUUUAUAGGUUUCAAGUUGUGAUGUCGAUAAAUAACCCUGCAAAACUAAUUGGUGAUCUUGUUCUUAAAUGUCAGUUGGGGAAACCUUUUGAAGAAUUUAGGAAUAUUAUAAAGAAUGAAAACAUAGAUGGACU
This 16290-nucleotide long non-coding RNA is filed under the name Capsicum annuum. Its description in RNAcentral is "long non-coding RNA (CANN_LNC001204)". Lineage: Eukaryota; Viridiplantae; Streptophyta; Magnoliopsida; Solanales; Solanaceae. The record is from RNAcentral.